Molecule: ribosomal RNA, 492 nt
Filed under: uncultured bacterium
Lineage: Bacteria
Description: partial 16S ribosomal RNA
Rfam family: Bacterial small subunit ribosomal RNA
Source: RNAcentral
AGUGAACGCUGGCGGUAGGCCUAACACAUGCAAGUCGAACGGCAGCACAGUAAGAGCUUGCUCUUACGGGUGGCGAGUGGCGGACGGGUGAGGAAUACAUCGGAAUCUACUUUUUCGUGGGGGAUAACGUAGGGAAACUUACGCUAAUACCGCAUACGACCUACGGGUGAAAGCAGGGGAUCUUCGGACCUUGCGCGAUUGAAUGAGCCGAUGUCGGAUUAGCUAGUUGGCGGGGUAAAGGCCCACCAAGGCGACGAUCCGUAGCUGGUCUGAGAGGAUGAUCAGCCACACUGGAACUGAGACACGGUCCAGACUCCUGCGGGAGGCAGCAGUGGGGAAUAUUGGACAAUGGGCGCAAGCCUGAUCCAGCCAUACCGCGUGGGUGAAGAAGGCCUUCGGGUUGUAAAGCCCUUUUGUUGGGAAAGAAAAGCAGCAGGUUAAUACCCCGCUGUUCUGACGGUACCCAAAGAAGAAGCACCGGCUAACUUCGUG